GUGUGUCCAGGUCUUUCAGCGGCAGCACCAUGAUGAUGUCUCUGACUCUACUGCUGGCCACCCUGGGGCUCCUUGUUCAGGGUUCAUCAGGUCAAAUAACUGUGACUCAGACUCCUGAAGCUUUGUCUGUUGCUGCACAACAGACUGUUACUAUUAAGUGUAAAACCAGUUCCACUGUUAGUAACUACCUUAACUGGUACCUUCAGAAACCUGGAGAAGCUCCUCGACUUCUUGUUAGAUACUCUACAACCCGUCAGUCUGGAGUCUCUGAUCGUUUCAGUGGAAGUGGAUCUGGGUCUGAUUACACUCUAACCAUUAACAGAGUUCAGGGUGAAGAUGCAGGAGAUUAUUACUGUCAGCAGAGUUACAGCCUCCCGUUCACAGAGUGAAACAACGUCGUACAAAAACCUCCUCAGCUGAAGAGGAACUGAUCUGAACCAACAUCUGCACAGACACUUAUAACACUUUAAAGUUUGACAGGUACUAAAGUUACAGUUCACUGGGUUUUCAAUAUUUUAUCUGUUAUUAUAUUGUUUUCUUAAUAAUUAUAAAAUAGUACAGUGUACAUUUGUUGAUGUAAAUAUAAAGUGAUGAACUAGGAGAACCCUCAGAUGUUGUAAUGUUCAUAGGAUUUGUUUCAUAGGACAUGAUGUUUUUGUUGUAGUCUUCCCAACCCUAGAUUUACUUAGAUCCAUCAGGGCUUCACUUUUUUACCUAUAGAACAGUUUCUUUAGCUAUAAAAAGUUAUUAUAGAACAUUCUUUUUUUGUUUUAUUAUCAUGUCAGACACUAAAACUACUUUUCCUGUAAUUUUAUUUUUAUUUUGAUGAAUGUGCGUUAUAAAAAAAGUUAAUCUUGAAAAUGAAAACCUGUAAUUAAUUUAUAAUGUCAAGAUGUGGUGAAGUGGACACAGAAUCAGUCAUCUGUCAUUCGGAAACAAUACAUGUUUAAACCAAACUAAAUAAAAUGAUGCACUGUGAUGAAUAAAAGAAUAAAAGGGGCUCCUCACCAUCAGGGUCGGCGCCACUCGACACACUGCAUAAAGAGACGCAGGAGGUUGUAGUGAAACUGAGCAUUUGAAUGAGACUGAUUUUAAUGUUUCAUUUCCUUCAGGGAUGUUGGUUCCUAUGGCAACAGUCAGACAUCACUACUGAACCAUGACAACAGACAGGUUUCAGCACUAAAGAUAUAAAGUG
Betta splendens (Siamese fighting fish) is the source of this 1195-nucleotide non-coding RNA. NCBI's taxonomy places the organism in Eukaryota, Metazoa, Chordata, Actinopteri, Anabantiformes, Osphronemidae. The record is from the annotation of a RefSeq genome assembly.